Molecule: small nuclear RNA, 25 nt
Filed under: Arabidopsis thaliana (thale cress)
Lineage: Eukaryota; Viridiplantae; Streptophyta; Magnoliopsida; Brassicales; Brassicaceae
Description: snRNA_06964
Source: RNAcentral
AGGGUUCGAGUGUGAGCAUGCCUGU